GCGCCAGUAACUCAGCAGGAUAGAGUAACGCCCUUCUAAGGCGUGAGUCGGGGGUUCGAAUCCCUCCUGGCGUG
RNAcentral lists this transfer RNA (74 nucleotides) under Peptococcaceae bacterium. RNAcentral describes it as "tRNA-Arg". It matches the Rfam family "tRNA". Rfam says of the family: Transfer RNA (tRNA) molecules are approximately 80 nucleotides in length. Their secondary structure includes four short double-helical elements and three loops (D, anti-codon, and T loops). Lineage: Bacteria; Bacillati; Bacillota; Clostridia; Eubacteriales; Peptococcaceae. The record is from RNAcentral.